RNAcentral lists this ribosomal RNA (524 nucleotides) under uncultured bacterium. RNAcentral describes it as "partial 16S ribosomal RNA". It matches the Rfam family "Bacterial small subunit ribosomal RNA", at positions 28 to 523 of the family's 1533-position model. The record is from RNAcentral.
GACGAACGCUGGCGGCGUGCCUAAUACAUGCAAGUCGAGCGCAGGAAGCUGACGGAACUCUUCGGAGGGAAGGCAGUGGAAUGAGCGGCGGACGGGUGAGUAACACGUAAGGAACCUGCCUCAAGGAUUGGGAUAACUCCGAGAAAUCGGAGCUAAUACCGGAUAGUUCAACGGACCGCAUGGUCCGCUGAUGAAAGGCGCUCCGGCGUCACCUUGAGAUGGCCUUGCGGUGCAUUAGCUAGUUGGUGGGGUAACGACCCACCAAGGCGACGAUGCAUAGCCGACCUGAGAGGGUGAUCGGCCACACUGGGACUGAGACACGGCCCAGACUCCUACGGGAGGCAGCAGUAGGGAAUCUUCCACAAUGGACGAAAGUCUGAUGGAGCAACGCCGCGUGAGUGAUGAAGGUUUUCGGAUCGUAAAACUCUGUUGUAAGGGAAGAACACGUACGAGAGGAAAUGCUCGUACCUUGACGGUACCUUACGAGAAAGCCACGGCUAACUACGUGCCAGCCGCCGCGGUAA